GGUACUGUAGCCAAGUGGUUACGGCGUCACGUUUAGGUCAUGUACUAAUCCGUGAUGGGAAACCUCGCGAGUUCGAAUCUCGUCAGUGCCA
RNAcentral lists this transfer RNA (91 nucleotides) under Auriscalpium vulgare. Its description in RNAcentral is "tRNA-Leu". It matches the Rfam family "tRNA". Rfam says of the family: Transfer RNA (tRNA) molecules are approximately 80 nucleotides in length. Their secondary structure includes four short double-helical elements and three loops (D, anti-codon, and T loops). Further hydrogen bonds mediate the characteristic L-shaped molecular structure. tRNAs have two regions of fundamental functional importance: the anti-codon, which is responsible for specific mRNA codon recognition, and the 3' end, to which the tRNAs corresponding amino acid is attached (by aminoacyl-tRNA synthetases). tRNAs cope with the degeneracy of the genetic code in two manners: having more than one tRNA (with a specific anti-codon) for a particular amino acid; and 'wobble' base-pairing, i.e. permitting non-standard base-pairing at the 3rd anti-codon position. Lineage: Eukaryota; Fungi; Basidiomycota; Agaricomycetes; Russulales; Auriscalpiaceae. The record is from RNAcentral.